This 172-nucleotide non-coding RNA is filed under the name Vibrio vulnificus. Lineage: Bacteria; Pseudomonadati; Pseudomonadota; Gammaproteobacteria; Vibrionales; Vibrionaceae. The record is from RNAcentral.
UGGUGCUAUCUGGAAGUAUAGAUGGCUGAAAAGGGAAUCCGGUGUGAAUCCGGAACUGACGCGCAGCGGUAAGAGAGAACGAAAGCUUAAUCAGACACUGCAUGACGGAAUCGUGUGGGAAGUCAGGCGAGUAGGUUAACAGCUCUUGAGUCCGAAUACCUGCCAGCAGCUG